RNAcentral lists this ribosomal RNA (52 nucleotides) under Sympetrum speciosum. RNAcentral's name for it is "partial 28S ribosomal RNA". Lineage: Eukaryota; Metazoa; Arthropoda; Insecta; Odonata; Libellulidae. The record is from RNAcentral.
ACCUCAGAGCAGGCGAGAUCACCCGCUGAAUUUAAGCAUAUAAAAUAAAGCA